Molecule: unclassified non-coding RNA, 344 nt
Filed under: Calotropis procera
Lineage: Eukaryota; Viridiplantae; Streptophyta; Magnoliopsida; Gentianales; Apocynaceae
Description: contains 5' external transcribed spacer, ETS
Source: RNAcentral
UCAAGUGUUGGCCGAGACCCGGUUUCUUGUGUUGCGUACCGACACGAAGGCAUGUGUACUUGUCCCGGCGGUCCCUACGUUCGUUUAGUGCUCCCCGUUUCGGUUGGGGCACAAGACGAAACUCGUAUCUCGGUCCGUUACCCACGUCGCGUCCGGCUGUCGCGGUGAACGGGCGGUGCUAAACCUCUCGGAUACGGAAAGCAUUGAGGGCGGCGACAUCAGGUCCUUGCCCGAGCGUGCGGCGGAUAGACCCUGACGACGGUGCACGACAGUCGCUCCCGCCUCGGUUCGGCCGUGCGGGCAGGACGUCGUUGAGGAUUGCUACCUGGUUGAUCCUGCCAGUA